RNAcentral lists this non-coding RNA (643 nucleotides) under Oryza sativa Japonica Group (Japanese rice). The record is from RNAcentral. Lineage: Eukaryota; Viridiplantae; Streptophyta; Magnoliopsida; Poales; Poaceae.
UCACAGGCAUGCAGCAACGUACGAUUCGUCGUCGUCAAUGGAGGUUCAGGCGUGUUGCCGGAGCUGGGAGGGACAAGAUGGCAAGGCCGGCAGGUACAGCCACAGCCACACCCACAGGCAGGCUAGCCGGGAUGCCGGCCGGCAAGAUCGAUCGGCUCCAGCUAGUUUAGCUCCCAGGCCAGUCAAGGUAGAGGCAGCUCAAAGUGUAGUCAUCUCUUGAUCGUUGAUUGCUCCAGUCCUAUCCCAUGCUCCUCCUUGAGCUCCCAAUCAUUGAGCUCUCGGAUCCUCUCUGCUCUUCUCUGAUCUGGUGUCGUUCCAGUUUCCAAACAUGUUGCAGAAUGAUGAACACUGAACAACAAGAUUAUAAGGUAGGUAAGUAGUUGAUCAUUUCAGGUUUCCAGAGAUGAUAAAGCAAUCAGGGAUGCAUGCACACUGAUGCUGAUUGUACAAACUCCAAGCAAGUCAGGCCCAGGUCCAGGUCCAGGUCCAUUAGGUUUCUGUUCAUUUGAAGUUGGUCUCAAUCAGUUUCAGACAAUGUUGCUGUAAAGAUAAUCUCUCGAACUCCAAGGCUAUAUCAUUGCUGGCCAUACUGAUAGAGGUUGUGUUACCUGAAAGGUUGUCAGAGGACACAAACCAACUGUCA